Molecule: long non-coding RNA, 239 nt
Organism: Lates calcarifer (barramundi perch)
Lineage: Eukaryota; Metazoa; Chordata; Actinopteri; Centropomidae
Exons: 3
Source: RefSeq, a predicted model, not a curated record
CAGGUGUCACCACUUUGUCCAUGAUCACAGAGAGUCUUCGUACAAUGAAGAAGUUCUUUGAAACCAGGACAGAGGUCUCCAGUAUUCAAACUCCAACCAAUAAAUCACAGAGAAGAGACAGGCGUGAAGACAUUUCCACAAGGUCUUCAACUGCUGUCGUCUUCUCCUUCUGCAGAGAAAAGAACACGUGUUAAUCACAGAAACUGAUCAGUAAAUCUAAAUAUUUUUAAGACAUACUA